CCUGGCGGCACUAGCGCGGUGGUCCCACCUGACCCCAUGCCGAACUCAGAAGUGAAACGCCGUAGCGCCGAUGGUAGUGUGGGGUCUCCCCAUGUGAGAGUAGGGA
This 106-nucleotide ribosomal RNA is filed under the name Acinetobacter baumannii. The record is from RNAcentral. RNAcentral also lists the same sequence under 6 other names. Lineage: Bacteria; Pseudomonadati; Pseudomonadota; Gammaproteobacteria; Moraxellales; Moraxellaceae.